RNAcentral lists this ribosomal RNA (1201 nucleotides) under Salmonella enterica subsp. enterica serovar Enteritidis. Its description in RNAcentral is "partial 23S ribosomal RNA". It matches the Rfam family "Bacterial large subunit ribosomal RNA", at positions 161 to 1262 of the family's 2925-position model. Lineage: Bacteria; Pseudomonadati; Pseudomonadota; Gammaproteobacteria; Enterobacterales; Enterobacteriaceae. The record is from RNAcentral.
AAUCCAUAGGUUAAUGAGGCGAACCGGGGGAACUGAAACAUCUAAGUACCCCGAGGAAAAGAAAUCAACCGAGAUUCCCCCAGUAGCGGCGAGCGAACGGGGAGGAGCCCAGAGCCUGAAUCAGCAUGUGUGUUAGUGGAAGCGUCUGGAAAGGCGCGCGAUACAGGGUGACAGCCCCGUACACAAAAGCGCAUGUGCUGUGAGCUCGAUGAGUAGGGCGGGACACGUGGUAUCCUGUCUGAAUAUGGGGGGACCAUCCUCCAAGGCUAAAUACUCCUGACUGACCGAUAGUGAACCAGUACCGUGAGGGAAAGGCGAAAAGAACCCCGGCGAGGGGAGUGAAAAAGAACCUGAAACCGUGUACGUACAAGCAGUGGGAGCCCCACCACCAAAGCAUUUGCUGUACCGCGUUGACGGAGCGAAGCGACGUCAAACCGAUAAAACAGCAGUGUAAAGUGAGCCGCAGGGCGCUUUGCGCGACAGCGCAAAGGCAGGCGGUUUCGCGUAGCGAAAGCGAAUGCUUUGGGGUGGGGUGACUGCGUACCUUUUGUAUAAUGGGUCAGCGACUUAUAUUCUGUAGCAAGGUUAACCGAAUAGGGGAGCCGGAGGGAAACCGAGUCUUAACCGGGCGUUAAGUUGCAGGGUAUAGACCCGAAACCCGGUGAUCUAGCCAUGGGCAGGUUGAAGGUUGGGUAACACUAACUGGAGGACCGAACCGACUAAUGUUGAAAAAUUAGCGGAUGACCUGUGGCUGGGGGUGAAAGGCCAAUCAAACCGGGAGAUAGCUGGUUCUCCCCGAAAGCUAUUUAGGUAGCGCCUCGUGAAUUCAUCUCCGGGGGUAGAGCACUGUUUCGGCUAGGGGGCCAUCCCGGCUUACCAACCCGAUGCAAACUGCGAAUACCGGAGAAUGUUAUCACGGGAGACACACGGCGGGUGCUAACGUCCGUCGUGAAGAGGGAAACAACCCAGACCGCCAGCUAAGGUCCCAAAGUCAUGGUUAAGUGGGAAACGAUGUGGGAAGGCCCAGACAGCCAGGAUGUUGGCUUAGAAGCAGCCAUCAUUUAAAGAAAGCGUAAUAGCUCACUGGUCGAGUCGGCCUGCGCGGAAGAUGUAACGGGGCUAAACCAUGCACCGAAGCUGCGGCAGCGACACUGUGUGUUGUUGGGUAGGGGAGCGUUCUGUAAGCCUGUGAAGGUGUGUC